GGCCAGUGAUGCAAGAAAAAUAUUUGCUACUCUUGAUGAAGAAUAUUCAGUUGAUGAUCGGUUAACCACCAAGAUCUCUGAGGCC
This is a small nucleolar RNA of Eutrema salsugineum, 85 nucleotides long. It matches the Rfam family "Small nucleolar RNA SNORD24". Rfam says of the family: U24 is a member of the C/D class of snoRNA which contain the C (UGAUGA) and D (CUGA) box motifs. C/D box snoRNAs have been shown to act as methylation guides for a number of RNA targets. The record is from Rfam. Lineage: Eukaryota; Viridiplantae; Streptophyta; Magnoliopsida; Brassicales; Brassicaceae.